GGGGCUUCCACGUCUUCUGUGCCGUAGCUAACGCAUUAAGCGCCCCGCCUGGGGAGUACGGCCGCAAGGCUAAAACUCAAAGGAAUUGACGGGGGCCCGCACAAGCGGCGGAGCAUGUGGAUUAAUUCGAUGCAACGCGAAGAACCUUACCUGGGCUUGACAUAUACAGGAUCGGGCUAGAGAUAGUCUUUCCCUUGUGGUCUGUAUACAGGUGGUGCAUGGUUGUCGUCAGCUCGUGUCGUGAGAUGUUGGGUUAAGUCCCGCAACGAGCGCAACCCUUGUCUUAUGUUGCCAGCACGUUAUGGUGGGAACUCAUGAGAGACUGCCGGGGUUAACUCGGAGGAAGGUGGGGAUGACGUCAAAUCAUCAUGCCCCUUAUGUCCAGGGCUUCACACAUGCUACAAUGGUCGAUACAGUGGGCAGCGACAUCGUAAGGUGGAGCGAAUCCCUGAAAGUCGGCCUUAGUUCGGAUUGGGGUCUGCAACUCGACCCCAUGAAGUCGGAGUCGCUAGUAAUCGCAGAUCAGCAAUGCUGCGGUGAAUACGUUCCCGGGCCUUGUACACACCGCCCGUCACGUCAUGAAAGUUGGUAACACCCGAAGCCAGUGGCCUAAACUUGUUAGGGAGCUGUCGAAGGUGGGAUCGGCGAUUGGGGACGAAGUCGUAACAAAGUUAACCGUA
This 680-nucleotide ribosomal RNA is filed under the name Corynebacterium sp. Its description in RNAcentral is "bacterial SSU rRNA". It matches the Rfam family "Bacterial small subunit ribosomal RNA", at positions 826 to 1504 of the family's 1533-position model. The record is from RNAcentral. Lineage: Bacteria; Bacillati; Actinomycetota; Actinomycetes; Mycobacteriales; Corynebacteriaceae.